RNAcentral lists this unclassified non-coding RNA (200 nucleotides) under Iodosphaeria sp. RNAcentral describes it as "partial internal transcribed spacer 2". The record is from RNAcentral. Lineage: Eukaryota; Fungi; Ascomycota; Sordariomycetes; Amphisphaeriales; Iodosphaeriaceae.
UUAAGUUCAGCGGGUAGUCCUACCUGAUCCGAGGUCAACCCUUGGGGGCUACGGGGUUUUACAGCCAGACCCGCGGCACCUACAGAAGCGAGGACAGAGUGCUACUACGCUUAGAGGCUGCCAUGGCUCCGCUGGGAGCUUUGAGGGACCGCCGGGGCGGGUCCCCAACGCUAGGCAGGCGGCCUAGGUGUGGUCUAAAU